RNAcentral lists this ribosomal RNA (253 nucleotides) under uncultured bacterium. RNAcentral's name for it is "partial 16S ribosomal RNA". It matches the Rfam family "Bacterial small subunit ribosomal RNA", at positions 524 to 776 of the family's 1533-position model. The record is from RNAcentral.
UACGUAGGGGGCAAGCGUUGUCCGGAUUUAUUGGGCGUAAAGAGCGUGUAGGCGGCCAGGUAGGUCGGUUGUGAAAACUGGAGGCUUAACCUCCAGACGUCGACCGAAACCAUCUUGCUAGAGUCCGGAAGAGGAGAGUGGAAUUCCUGGUGUAGCGGUGAAAUGCGCAGAUAUCAGGAAGAACACCCGUGGCUAAGGCGGCUCGAUAGUACGGUAGUGACGCUGAGACGCGAAAGCGUGGGGAGCGAACAGG